RNAcentral lists this ribosomal RNA (431 nucleotides) under uncultured bacterium. RNAcentral's name for it is "partial 16S ribosomal RNA". It matches the Rfam family "Bacterial small subunit ribosomal RNA", at positions 29 to 507 of the family's 1533-position model. The record is from RNAcentral.
AACGAACGCUGGCGGCAGGCUUAACACAUGCAAGUCGAGCGCCCCGCAAGGGGAGCGGCAGACGGGUGAGUAACGCGUGGGAACGUACCUUUUGGUUCGGAACAACUCCGGGAAACUGGAGCUAAUACCGGAUAAGCCCUAACGGGGAAAGAUUUAUCGCCGAAAGAUCGGCCCGCGUCUGAGUGGCUAGUUGGUGAGGUAACGGCUCACCAAGGCGACGAUCAGUAGCUGGUCUGAGAGGAUGAUCAGCCACACUGGGACUGAGACACGGCCCAGACUCCUACGGGAGGCAGCAGUGGGGAAUAUUGGACAAUGGGCGCAAGCCUGAUCCAGCCAUGCCGCGUGAGUGAUGAAGGCCUUAGGGUUGUAAAGCUCUUUUGUCCGGGAAGAUAAUGACUGUACCGGAAGAAUAAGCCCCGGCUAACUUCGUG